RNAcentral lists this long non-coding RNA (952 nucleotides) under Physcomitrium patens. RNAcentral describes it as "long non-coding RNA (PPAT_LNC002449)". Lineage: Eukaryota; Viridiplantae; Streptophyta; Bryopsida; Funariales; Funariaceae. The record is from RNAcentral.
UGUAUCAACCAGUAAUAUUUAUGAUAAAAAUCAUGUAAGUUAUUGAUGAGGCUUCUUUCUAAGUAAUAGUAUUAUAUAUAUAUAUAUAUAUAUAUAUAUAUGUAUGACCCACUUAAGAUUUAAAUCCACACAACUAUUUCCACUUUGCUCAUCUUUUGCAUUUCCUAGGGCUUUGCACUCCCUCAUCAAUCUCUCAAUUUUGCAGUUAGUGAUGUGCUAAUUUUGUAAUCGGAUGAAACAAGUUGAAAGUAGAACUCUUGGAAAUAGUUGUAAUGGAGCACCUUGGAAAAAGAAUAUAGAAUCUAAUUGGAAGAAGUGAAUCAAUGAGGUAGAAGCACACAACAAGAAGACUAUUUUACAUUGGAGGGGAAGUUGAUGAGUAGUUAGAGAGGUAUUGGAGGUGAAUUGUGAAGAAGGAUAAACAAGAGAGGUAUUGCAAGAAGUGAAGUUUUUGACAAUGUCAAAUGAUAAAAAUGAUCAAUAACUAUUCGUAUUGUAUUAGAAUGGGACAAUUUAAUAUUCUUACACAGAUAUAUAUAUAUAUAUAUAUAUAAUCUCUUCUUCCUACCAAUUGAUGGUUUAAUAUGCUUCAAUAUGGUUAGAGCUCAUCUUGCAUGGUCAAAUUAUAAAAUACAAGUGCCACACCAAGGAUCUCGACCUUGUUGGGUAAAGAAUCAAUCUGCAUGGAUCAUUCACAACAUCUAAAAGGAACCUUGCAUCAUUUUAAUAUAUACUGGAAUUUCUCAUAACAUAUAUAUAUAUAUAUAUAUAUAAUUAUGGACCUACAUGAUGGCUUCAAAAAUAUCUAACAUAUUGACAUGAAAUUUAUUUUUUUUAUUUUUUGAAAAAGUCCUUCUGAGAAAGAAUUUAAAUAUAAACUCGAAUAUAAUUAAUGAUGUAAAUACAGUGUUGCAUUCUUGACUCCUUAUAAGUUCAAUUUUUUUGUAACUUG